AGUGAACGCUGGCGGUAGGCCCAACACAUGCAAGUCGAACGGCAGCACAGAGGAGCUUGCUCCUUGGGUGGCGAGUGGCGGACGGGUGAGGAAUACAUCGGAAUCUACUUUUUCGUGGGGGAUAACGUAGGGAAACUUACGCUAAUACCGCAUACGACCUACGGGUGAAAGCAGGGGACCUUCGGGCCUUGCGCGAUUGAAUGAGCCGAUGUCGGAUUAGUUAGUUGGCGGGGUAAAGGCCCACCAAGGCGACGAUCCGUAGCUGGUCUGAGAGGAUUAUCAGCCACACUGGAACUGAGACACGGUCCAGACUCCUACGGGAGGCAGCAGUGGGGAAUAUUGGACAAUGGGAGCAAGCCUGAUCCAGCCAUACCGCGUGGGUGAAGAAGGCCUUCGGGUUGUAAAGCCCUUUUGUUGGGAAAGAAAUCCAGCCGGCUAAUACCUGGUUGGGAUGACGGUACCCAAAGAAUAAGCACCGGCUAACUUCGUGCCAGCCGCCGCAGUAA
RNAcentral lists this ribosomal RNA (506 nucleotides) under uncultured bacterium. RNAcentral's name for it is "partial 16S ribosomal RNA". It matches the Rfam family "Bacterial small subunit ribosomal RNA", at positions 29 to 523 of the family's 1533-position model. The record is from RNAcentral.